AGUUUUUUGCUCAUACUUUAUUUUCAACAUUGCUUAAGCAUUUUGUUUUGGGUGCAUCUCUUGCAUACUCAAGCGAUAAUGGUGACAUUUCCAGCAAUUGCUAUAAUUUUCCAUUUUAGAUACAGAGACAUCUGUCACUUAGAACAUCACAUGAAAAGCUUCCAGGCUAGUUCCUGGGAUGGGAAGGCCCCUAGAAGCUGAUACAUGAACUGUGUGGAAUAACGCAAUCUCGGUGGAUUACAGCCUCCCCCCAGGUUUUGUACCUGUGCGACUGUGAUGAUAGAUCUGCCAUCACAGAGAUGAUGAAGUUGGCAGGGGGAGCAGCCUUUGGAAUUAUCAGCCAGAGUGGGUGUGAGAUGUGUUAAGUGUGGGACGUCUACGAGCCGUCUAAGUGGAGACGUCAGGAAGAGAGUCGGACAUAAGGGUCCGGGGCCAGGGAAGGGGUCAGGGCAGGAGUCAUCAAGAAAUGGAGAUACUCAGAGCCAUGAGCUUGGAUGGGACCACCAAGCAGGGGAGAGUAGAUGGUGAAGAAGAGAGGACCGGGUUGAGGCCUGCGUGCUCCAUCCUGAAGAGGGCAGGGAGAAGGGAAGGAGCCGGCAGAAGUGACCAAGGGAGUGGUUGGUGGGGCCUUUGGGAGAUGAUUAGUCAUGAAGGUGGAGCCCUCAGGAACGGAUUCCUGCCCUUAUAUGAGGCCAGAGAGCUAGCUUGCCCUGUUUCCACCACGUGAGGACACAAGGAGAAGUCGGCAGACUGCAACCUGGAAGAAAUCACGAGAACCCGACAUGCCGGCACCCUGAUCUCGGACUUCAGUUUCCAGAA
Molecule: long non-coding RNA, 819 nt
Organism: Lagenorhynchus albirostris (white-beaked dolphin)
Lineage: Eukaryota; Metazoa; Chordata; Mammalia; Artiodactyla; Delphinidae
Exons: 3
Source: RefSeq, a predicted model, not a curated record